This is an RNA transcript of Zootoca vivipara (common lizard), 4067 nucleotides long. It is a transcript of the gene named von Willebrand factor A domain containing 2, with no coding region annotated. NCBI's taxonomy places the organism in Eukaryota, Metazoa, Chordata, Lepidosauria, Squamata, Lacertidae. The record is from RefSeq and is a predicted model, not a curated record.
GCCUCCCUCCCACUCGACGUUCAAAUGGGCAGCAGCUGGAGUUCCGCCCGAAGUCUCGAGGUUGGCUUGGUUUGGCGGGCGAAGGGGACGUCGAGCAGCGCGUCGUUCGCAUCUCCUCCGCGGGCACCCGGUCAAAAGUGCGCAUAGGGCGGGAGGCGGAGGUUAGGAGGGGAAGAAGGGGUUUCCUGGGAUCGCCUGGCUGCCCGCUCCUAGUCCAGGAUUGGUGCAAGCGCAACAGUCGUCGGAAGGCGUUAAGGCGCUUCGGAGAUCGCAACAGCUGUGUCUGCGCCUCGCCGGAGGAGAGAAUCUGCCCCACGGCCACUAUUUGGGGUGAGCGGUCGAUGCAAGAUCUGCCUGCGCUACAGCGGAGUCCGUGGCAUAGAAAGGGGAGGCGGGGAAAGACGGCUAGGUGUAGAGAGCACCUGGGGGAAUAAAACUUGCCCUCGCCUUCCGUCUUGCAAAGAUUGCUCUCUGCACUUCCAUUGCUUCCGUCUGGGGAUCCGCAAGGAAAGCGAACCUUGUGCGCAGUUCCUCCCAGUCCUGGACUAGCUGCCUGUGAUGGUAUGUUAAUAGCCACAAGCAGUUUCCUAAUUUCGCAGUUACCAAAAGGGGGCAGCUGUUGCCUGCAGUGCAAAAAAUCAAAAGUGCUGUCAUCAUGAGCCUCUUGAUGUGGCUUACCUCCACUUGCAUUUUCCUGUUUUCCCAAGCACGUGUGUCAUGGAGCAUCCAAGAACUGCACGUCAGCCAGGAAACCAUUGAGAAAAUUUCAGCAGCUGGCCAGCUAAUGAAUUGCUCUGCCCCAGUUGAUGUCUUGUUUCUGUUCGAUGGAUCCUACAGCAUUGGCAAAGGGAGCUUUGAAAGGUCAAAAUACUUAGCAAUCAAGCUUUGUGAUGCUCUGGACAUCAAUCCAGGAAAGGUCAGAGUGGGAGCAAUACAGUUCAGCAACACUCCUCAUUUGGAGUUCCCGUUGGAUGCAUAUUUCACCAAGCAGGAGAUAAAAGACAAACUCAGGAAGAUUGUGUUCAAAGGUGGGAGAACAGAAACAGGACUUGCUCUGAAAUACAUUCUUCGGAAAGGAUUUUCUGGGGGCAGAAACUCAUCCAUACCUCAAAUCCUUAUCAUCCUAACUGAUGGGAGAUCUCAGGGCAAUGUGGCAGUGCCAGCCAAGCAGUUAAAAGAAAGGGGGAUUGCUGUGUUUGCUGUGGGAGUCAGCUUCCCAAGAUGGGAAGAACUGCAGGCACUAGCCAGUGAGCCGGCCGAAUGGCACAUCCUCUUUGCCGAAGAUGCUGAUGACGCCUCCAAUGGUCUAUAUACCACCCUUACAGAGUCUGCCGUCUGCAGUGCUGCAUUUCCUGGCUGCGGAGCUGAAUCUCACUCUUGCGAACGCAAAACACUCGAGAGAGUCAAAGAGUUUGUUGGAAACUACUUUUGCUGGAAGGGGUCGAAGAGCAAUAAUGCCGUGCGCACAUCGCUCUGCCCAUUUUACAACUGGAGGAACACCUUCAUCACGUAUCCUUCUAGAUGCUACCGUACCACAUGCCCAGAUCCUUGUGGUUCUCAGCCUUGCCAGAAUGGAGGCACAUGCAUUCAGCAGGGAUUAGAAGGAUACCACUGUGUCUGCCCAGUUGGCUUUGGAGGAGAUGCUAAUUGCGCACCCAAGCUGAGUCUCGAAUGCAGCGUAGACCUUCUUUUCCUGGUGGACAGUUCAUCCAGUACCACCCUCGAAGGCUUCUUGCGCUAUAAAGCUUUCCUGAAAAGGUUUCUCCAAGCCGUGUGGAGUAGAGAGAGCCCAGGGAAUGUGGGUGUGGCCCAGUACAGCAACGAUGUCAAAAUGGCCGUCGGCAUCGGAGACCACCAAGAUGCUCUCAGUCUGGUGAAGGCUGUUGAUUCCAUGCAGUUCAGAGGAGGAAGCACCUUGACCGGCAAAGCUUUGCGGUACGUGACACAGCAUGGCUUUAAGAGCGGCCCAGUCUUUGCUGAUACACCCGAUGACCUCCCACGUGUGGUCGUCUUGCUCACGGAUUCAAAUGCUCAGGAUUCGGUGGCAGAGGCAGCUAGGUACAGCAGAGGCCAAGGUGUCUUCCUCAUUGGGAUUGGCAGUGAAUCUUUGAAAGCAGAGCUGGAUAAUAUUACAGGGAAUCCAAAGUGGACACUGAUCUACUCAUCCCCACAAGAUCUCUUCAACAAGAUUACUGAACUACAAAGGAAAAUAUGCAGCAUAGACAGCCAAGGCUGCCCAUCUCAGUCUAUGGACUUGGUAUUUGCUUUGGACUCUUCGGCUUCUGUUGGAAGGAAUAACUUUGUGCAGCUGAAAACCUUUGUCAGCAGCCUCUCUCUCCAAUUUGGCAUCAAUCGGGAUGUGACUCAGGUAGGCCUCGUUGUUUUUGGGAAAAGGCCUCACACCACAUUUGGGCUGGACACACACGUGACCAGCUCAGAUCUCCAUGAAGCCAUCAGUCAAGCUCCCUUUGUAGGUGGCUCUGCCUCGGUUGGCAGCGCCUUGCUCCAUAUUUAUGACGAUCUCAUGACUGUCCAAAAAGGAGCAAGGCCUGGUGUGAAGAAGAUUGUGGUGGUGGUCACAAGUGGAGCUGGAGUGGAAGAUGCCGUUGUCCCAGCUCAACAGCUACGCAAUAAUGACGUAUCACUACUGGUUAUUGGGAUGGAACAAGUUCAAGUGAGCUCAUUGCUGAAGAUUGCAGGUUCUCACAAUAAUCUCUUAAGGAUUCCUUCCUAUGAAGAGCUAAAAAAUAAUGAAGAACUUAUCCUUGAAAGAAUAUGUGAUGAGGCCAAGAAGCCAGCAAACCUCUGCAAACCCAACCCCUGCAUGAAUGAUGGAGUUUGUGUUUCUGGAAAUGGCAGCUACUGGUGUCGUUGCCAAGGCUGGGUAGGACCUCACUGCGAAAACAGAAUUCAGAGGGGUGACACGUCACAGAUGCAUCCAGCAAUGGUCCGAGCUCCACAAAACCGACAUGGCUGGCGACAGCUGUAUCGAUCUCGCCAGCAUUCCAAAAGGCAAAUUCGAGAGACUCACUGACUAUCUUCAGCUACUGAAAACAUUGUACGAAAGAACUGAAACACAGUCAACGUUUGCAAGCAAUAAUGCUGUUCCCCAAAGCACAAGACUUUUGCACAGAAUCACUUCCUGAUAUUGGGACAGCUGAACAGAGGGAAUAUAGACACAGCUGAGCUAUUCAAACAAGGUAUGAAGACAAGUUUCACCACUUUGCUCCUAGUGCCCCUGUAUACGCCACUUCCUGCACUGAAGUGUUGUUAUUAUACCUUUUUUUAAAAAAAGUUUAUGCAGUAUGAGUAGACCCACUAAAAUCAAUUUAUUUCAUUGGCUCUCCUAUUGAGGCAGAUAGGAAAGUCAAAAUGGUUGAGAAGAAAGAGUAUAAAUUUCAGGGUGCCAAGAUUGCAUCCAUCAUUAGCAAACCUAUCUAAAAUUAUGAAACAGUAGGCACCCAAAAAUAUUUAGAACAAGGUGAAAAUCUGAGGCAGCAUCUGCAUCCAGUUUUGCCCAUCUUGGAAGUCGCAAGACAUUCCAGCACUCAGCCUUUACUUGCAACAGUUCCUUUUUCCCAGCAUGUACAGCAUCCAACACUGAUUGCAAGUAGGCUUGAUGUGUGUUCAUAGCCGCAAAUAGACACUAAAGUUUGCUUCUCUGCUGGAGUUUUGUAAUCAGAAGUGUUUGUGCAAUUUUCUCUUAACCCAAGGUCUCCAGUAGGCUGCUCCCUCCCUGGGCUGCUUAAUGAAGCCUUCAGUGCAAGCUGGAUGGGAAGUGUUUUUUAUUAGGGGAGAAUUUCUGUAAAAGAUAAGACUGGUCUUGCUACACAAAACAGCAGCAGUUUCUACUUACUUUGCCUUCUAAGAGCCCCCCCCCCCAAACAAAAGGGCGUUAUUCUGCUCUCCUUUUUGAACUCCUAGAGAAUAUUUAUUUGCAUCAAAGAGAGUUUUGGAUUAUGUUAAUAUACCCUCCUUGCCCACACAGCAAAGAGGUUUGGCUGUAUCUGGGCCUGCAAAGUUAAAAGUUAUAGACACUGCUUGGUUUUCUCUCUCGUUUUUUGGAC